CUAGGACUCUAGGAAUUGAACCUACACUUAAGAAUUCAAAAAUCUUCGUGCUACCAAAAUACACCAAAUCCUA
This 73-nucleotide transfer RNA is filed under the name Dermanura rava. RNAcentral's name for it is "tRNA-Gln". The record is from RNAcentral. Lineage: Eukaryota; Metazoa; Chordata; Mammalia; Chiroptera; Phyllostomidae.